This 485-nucleotide ribosomal RNA is filed under the name uncultured bacterium. RNAcentral describes it as "partial 16S ribosomal RNA". It matches the Rfam family "Bacterial small subunit ribosomal RNA", at positions 29 to 506 of the family's 1533-position model. The record is from RNAcentral.
AUUGAACGCUGGCGGCAUGCCUUACACAUGCAAGUCGAACGGCAGCACGGGUGCUUGCCCCUGGUGGCGAGUGGCGAACGGGUGAGUAAUACAUCGGAACAUGUCCUGUAGUGGGGGAUAGCCCGGCGAAAGCCGGAUUAAUACCGCAUACGAUCUACGGAUGAAAGCGGGGGACCUUCGGGCCUCGCGCUAUAGGGUUGGCCGAUGGCUGAUUAGCUAGUUGGUGGGGUAAAGGCCUACCAAGGCGACGAUCAGUAGCUGGUCUGAGAGGACGACCAGCCACACUGGGGCUGAGACACGGCCCAGAGUCCGACGGGAGGCAGCAGUGGGGAAUUUUGGACAAUGGGCGAAAGCCUGAUCCAGCAAUGCCGCGUGUGUGAAGAAGGCCUGCGUGUUGUAAAGCACUUUUGUCCGGAAAGAAAUCCUUGGCCCUAAUACGGUCGGGGGAUGACGGUACCGGAAGAAUAAGCACCGGCUAACUACGG